The submitters of this non-coding RNA (62 nucleotides) gave its source as unclassified sequences. The record is from Rfam.
UCACGUUCAUCUCAUCUCCGGCGAGGCGCAAUUCGACUCAAGCCAUGGAAUGGUGACCUGAG